RNAcentral lists this ribosomal RNA (253 nucleotides) under uncultured bacterium. Its description in RNAcentral is "partial 16S ribosomal RNA". It matches the Rfam family "Bacterial small subunit ribosomal RNA", at positions 524 to 776 of the family's 1533-position model. The record is from RNAcentral.
UACGAAGGGGGCGAGCGUUGUUCGGAUUUACUGGGCGUAAAGGGUGCGUAGGCGGCGCGGUAAGUCGGGUGUGAAAUCUUGGAGCUUAACUCCGAAACUGCAUUCGAUACUGCCGUGCUUGAGGACUGGAGAGGAGACUGGAAUUUACGGUGUAGCGGUGAAAUGCGUAGAUAUCGUAAGGAAGACCAGUGGCGAAGGCGGGUCUCUGGACAGUUCCUGACGCUGAGGCACGAAGGUCAGGGGAGCAAACGGG